UAUAUCAUCUUGACAAAACAGGCAAAGAUAA
RNAcentral lists this non-coding RNA (31 nucleotides) under Mus musculus (house mouse). The record is from RNAcentral. Lineage: Eukaryota; Metazoa; Chordata; Mammalia; Rodentia; Muridae.